Molecule: ribosomal RNA, 468 nt
Filed under: uncultured bacterium
Lineage: Bacteria
Description: partial 16S ribosomal RNA
Rfam family: Bacterial small subunit ribosomal RNA
Source: RNAcentral
GACGAACGCUGGCGGCGUGCUUAACACAUGCAAGUCGAACGGAAAGGCCCUGCUUUUGUGGGGUGCUCGAGUGGCGAACGGGUGAGUAAAACGUGAGUAACCUGCCCUUGACUUUGGGAUAACUUCAGGAAACUGGGGCUAAUACCGGAUAGGAGCUCCUGCUGCAUGGUGGGGGUUGGAAAGUUUCGGCGGUUGGGGAUGGACUCGCGGCUUAUGAGCUUGUUGGUGGGGUAGUGGCUUACCAAGGCUUUGACGGGUAGCCGGCCUGAGAGGGUGACCGGCCACAUUGGGACUGCGAUACGGCCCAGUCGCCUACGGGAGGCAGCAGUGGGGAAUAUUGCACAAUGGGCGGAAGCCUGAUGCAGCAACGCCGCGUGCGGGAUGACGGCCUUCGGGUUGUAAACCGCUUUCUCCUGUGACGAAGCGUGAGUGACGGUAAUGGGUAAAGAAGCACCGGCUAACUACGUG